ACGCUCGACACCUACGAGGCAGCAGUGGGGAAUAUUGCACAAUGGGGGAAACCCUGAUGCAGCGACGCCGCGUGAGCGAAGAAGUAUUUCGGUAUGUAAAGCUCUAUCAGCAGGGAAGAAGAAAGACGGUACCUGACUAAGAAGCCCCGGCUAACUACGUGCCAGCAGCCGCGGUAAUCUGAGCGGGCUGGCAAGGC
This 197-nucleotide ribosomal RNA is filed under the name uncultured bacterium. RNAcentral describes it as "partial 16S ribosomal RNA". It matches the Rfam family "Bacterial small subunit ribosomal RNA", at positions 326 to 539 of the family's 1533-position model. The record is from RNAcentral.